Molecule: ribosomal RNA, 440 nt
Filed under: uncultured bacterium
Lineage: Bacteria
Description: partial 16S ribosomal RNA
Rfam family: Bacterial small subunit ribosomal RNA
Source: RNAcentral
CCUACGGGUGGCUGCAGUGGGGGAUAUUGCACAAUGGGGGAAACCCUGAUGCAGCGACGCCGCGUGGGUGAAGAAGGGCCUCGGCGCGUAAAGCCCUGUCAGCAGGGAAGAAAAUGACGGUACCUGAAGAAGAAGCCCCGGCUAACGACGUGCCAGCAGCCGCGGUAAUACGUAGGGGGCAAGCGUUAUCCGGAUUUACUGGGUGUAAAGGGGGCGGAGACGGCAAAGCAAGCAAGGAGUGAAAGCCCGGGGCCCAACCCCGGGACUGCUCUUGGAACUGUGGGGCUGGAGUGCAGGAGGGGUAGGAGGAAUUCCUGGUGUAGCGGUGAAAUGCGUAGAUAUCAGGAGGAACACCAGUGGCGAAGGCGGCUUGCUGGACUGCAACUGACGUUGAGGCCCGAAAGCGUGGGGAGCAAACAGGAUUAGAUACCCCUGUAGUA